Gadus chalcogrammus (walleye pollock) is the source of this 1429-nucleotide long non-coding RNA. RefSeq lists it as uncharacterized. Lineage: Eukaryota; Metazoa; Chordata; Actinopteri; Gadiformes; Gadidae. The record is from RefSeq and is a predicted model, not a curated record. The transcript has 5 exons.
AUCCUAUGGUUUCAUCGAUCAAUCAAGAAGAGGUGAGUGAGUUUCGCAAGGCAUGCUGGGUAUGCUACCCUUCCUUUUUUGGCGGUUUUACCUCGUAGUAACUUUCCAGAAAAACGAAAGGGUUAUGAUGAGAGAUUAUGUCAUACCCUGGCACAUGCUUUGUCCAAUGGACCAUGGAAGGGACUUUACUUGGCUGACGAGGACGCACCUCACCAGUAUCAGAGCAACAGCUGUGGGGUGUUUAUGCUGAUGUACGCAAUGUAUUCUACCCUCAAAAGCAAUAUGAUUUCAGUCAUCUCAAUCAGAUGUGUAGCAUGAAAUAUAAGGCUUUUAAUAAUCUAGUCAUCCUUACUGGAGGCUACAAUUAACAUGCAUCAUAGGUCAUACACAUUCUUUGUCUUCAGGUACUGCACUUACGGGAGGAGAUGGCUACAUCUUCACAAUAAUUUACACUGCUAAACAGUACUGUAACAUGGAUUUGUAUUAGGCUAUGAAGUCAUUUAAAGCAUAACUUUACUUUUCAGGGGGACAUGCUCUAUCAGGAGGUGGUGGUUGGACAGCUGUUGGAGACCUUUAUGCUUGAAAGGUUUAUAUACUGUGUCCAUGUUGCUAUUUACUUAUUUUUGGUGCUCACGAAGAUCGUAGCCAAUACACUUGUCUCUCUGUCUCUAGCCCUGCAGAACUAGCUGGCUCCUUCUCACCCUCUCCAUCUCCCCAUCUCAGUUACACCUUCCAAUCACUAAGCAGUGAAAGCCCUGCAGGACUAGCUGGCACACCAAGCUCACCCUCUCCAUCUCCCAAUCUCAGCCACACGCUCCAAUCUGGCACAACAGAGGACAGGCCAUUCUUACCAACCUAAGUCCUUCAGUAAAUUGUACAAGAGACGCUGAGACUGUACAUGGCGAUGCUUGGCGUGUUCAACAGGGUUUCAAACACAUUCCGAGAACUAAUCAAGCCUCUCCAUCAUUCCAUAUAUAUAAAUGACAGUUUGGCAGGGGACAUUAAGCUUAAUAAAGACAAUCUCAUCUACAUAACGGUUAGAAAGAUUUACAACAAUGCAGGCUGUGUCAGUGGCCUUGCGCUACGCCUCAAAGGCUUCUCAAAAAAGAAGAAUUGGCCAAGCGCACCCCUGGUACUGAGGCACGUUGCAUAUGGCAGGUUUGUCAUAAAAGAUGUCUGCCUAGCAUAAUGUUCUUUUAUUACUCCUUUUUCGUUUUAUUUGGGACGUCAUUUUUGCAAUCCCUUUCAUUUGUAAAUGUACAUACUACUGUAGUAAAUGUAUCUGCCCAGAAAUGCUGGUAUUUUAUUACUCCUUUCUUUUUUGUUUUUGUGACAAAUGCUAUACGAUGUAUAUAACAUACAUUUGUGCCUACGAUGUAUGUUGUAAGGUUAAUUGUUACAGAGCAAUUACUGUAUUUUGUCUUUAUUG